GGCCAUUUUCAUUAUAUUUGUGCCGAAUGAAAAGAGAAAGAAAAUAAGAAAACCAAGCUAGGUAUUCGGCCCUUGUUCAAGCAAAUUAAGAGUUCCAAAGACUUGCUCGGGCUGGAAGUCGUUGGAGUCAUCAUCACACUAUUCGGUUAUCGUUUCGGUAAAUUAAGGCUUUGAAGUUUUUGGUUAUGUGGCAUGUAUAGGCUAGUUUUAAUUUAGUUGUUGUAUAUAUAUUUAGCCAUGCGAAAAUGGCUUGAUCUAAUGCAAAUGAUCCGAGGUUUAAGUAAUUUUGGUCAUAGUAAAGGUGUGGGGUAUACUUAGUAUAUGAAUUUGGUAAGACUUAAUGAUAUAUAUAUGGUUUAUAAUUA
Gossypium raimondii (Peruvian cotton) is the source of this 365-nucleotide long non-coding RNA. RefSeq lists it as uncharacterized. The transcript has 2 exons. The record is from RefSeq and is a predicted model, not a curated record. Lineage: Eukaryota; Viridiplantae; Streptophyta; Magnoliopsida; Malvales; Malvaceae.